AGCGAUUUGUAACGGCUCCUUUCCUCAAUUUCGUGACUGCUGUCAUCUCUAACACACGGAAGAACAUCCACAUAAACCCUGAAAUUGUUCAGUAUUCUCUCAACAGCCGUUUGAGUCACCUCAAAUGUAGCAGAGGGCCAGAUUGAAACGGUCCGACGCACUUCACUUGCAAUGCAGA
Long non-coding RNA from Danio aesculapii, 178 nucleotides. RefSeq lists it as uncharacterized. Lineage: Eukaryota; Metazoa; Chordata; Actinopteri; Cypriniformes; Danionidae. The record is from RefSeq and is a predicted model, not a curated record. The transcript has 3 exons.